AGAGGAGGAAACAAAAUGAACGAAGUUCAUUUUUUAUAAAUGUUUCCGACGAACUGCCGCCGACCAAGGGGAGGGGGCGCAACAAU
RNAcentral lists this small RNA (86 nucleotides) under uncultured Eubacterium sp. RNAcentral describes it as "GA-cis RNA". It matches the Rfam family "GA-cis RNA". Lineage: Bacteria; Bacillati; Bacillota; Clostridia; Eubacteriales; Eubacteriaceae. The record is from RNAcentral.